This is a long non-coding RNA of Cyanistes caeruleus (blue tit), 546 nucleotides long. RefSeq lists it as uncharacterized. The record is from RefSeq and is a predicted model, not a curated record. NCBI's taxonomy places the organism in Eukaryota, Metazoa, Chordata, Aves, Passeriformes, Paridae.
GGGCGGAGCGGAGCGCGGGGCGGGUUUCGGGCCCAGCAGGCCUGUCGGGAAUAAAAACUGCGGGGUGUGCUCGCUUCCAAAUCAGCCCGGGGUUUUGGGGUACGGAAACGUGCUCGGGAUCAAUGCGGCUUGCUGUCUGAGGAGGUCCCUGUGGUGUUCAUGAAGAAUAACAUUGCUGAAGUUAUUUUGGGUGUGAAAGUGAAGUUUUGUUAGUGAAAUAAUUUUCCAGAACUGCGUAGAGCGUGGUUUGCACAAAGGAAUUGAAUUUGAGGAAGAGUUUCUUGACACUGAAGGUGGCAGAGCACUUGGAGCACAGGCUCAUGGAGGUCAUGAAGUCUCCUUCUCCAGAGGAGACAAGCUGAUUCAAAACCUGGCUGGAUGCUCUCCUGGGUCAUUCGCGUUUGAUAACCCUGCCUUGGCUAGGGGGCUGGACUAAAUCAUCUCCCGAGGUCCCUUCCAAUCCUAACGACUGUCUGCAUUCUUUGUCUGGUAAUGUGGCUUGUGCUAGUGAAUUAAAAUGCCUUAAUAAUAUUUUUGCGUUCAAAU